GGGCAAGAGGUUCGACUCGAGCGCAGCGAGAGAACGUUGCGUCAGCAACGGCCCGCAGGGCGAGCCACGCAGUGGCGAGUCAUCCUCUAUCACCGACCA
This 99-nucleotide small RNA is filed under the name Salmonella enterica. RNAcentral's name for it is "partial RtT sRNA". It matches the Rfam family "RtT RNA", at positions 34 to 130 of the family's 130-position model. Rfam says of the family: This family represents a bacterial cis-regulatory element known as RtT RNA. The exact function of RtT is unknown although it is thought that it may be involved in changing the cellular response in relation to amino acid starvation. Lineage: Bacteria; Pseudomonadati; Pseudomonadota; Gammaproteobacteria; Enterobacterales; Enterobacteriaceae. The record is from RNAcentral. RNAcentral also lists the same sequence under 6 other names.